GCUCGCGCGUAAAGCCGAAGGGAGCAGAUAGGGCGAGUGACGAGUCGCUCGACGCUAGGAGCAGGUGCAGAGUCUCCUGCCAUGUUCGGUCCACUCCCCAUGUUAGUCAACAUCAAAAGGAAACAAGAGGGACAGCUAGUGGGAUGACCAAACUACCCGGACAGCUCCCAGCUCAGCAUCUCCGCUACAUGAAACAUAAACAGCACCAUCUCCCUUGAAGUCAAACUGAAAUCAGCACCUGGGUGAAGACCAACUGGCUAAAGCUGAAACCAGGUGCCACAUUGACUUUAUUUGAGAGGAUCAGAACUGCCAACUGUUAUUGGAAGUUUCUGAAAGACCUGAGAUUAAUGCAUCAGAGGAGGCCAAUGAGAGAGAAGGAUGCUAGUGUGAGAAUGGAUCAAAAGUAUGGGGAAGGCUCAUCUCCAAAAGUGUGUGGCUAUUACAACUUGGGGCAGAAGCUGUUGCAUAUCUCUCUCCACAUUGAGGGAGAGGGUGAAUUUCAUGAGCUUAUGCUGUACAGGUCUCUGUGCAACACAAGAUGGAAUAAUUUUGGGUUUACCCUCCAGAGGGGUGUGUGCCUGAGAAGCUGAUCCAUCUGUUCUAUUCUCUCUCCUAUCUCUGCAGAGUUGACUCAUGCUGCUGUACUCCGAGAAUGGCUGAAAUACAGGUUCACAGGCAGGCAAUCUGCUGUGGUAGAAAGAACUAUUUAUAUCCCCCUUUAAAAUUGGGCUCUCCAGAGCCUGUGGAUUCUUUACCAAGGGUCGGGGUGGAGUCUCUGUCAGACAAUUGUUAAAUCAAGAUUGAUGUUUUGCUAAAACCUCUGCUCUAGGAAUUAUUUUGGGGCAGUCUCUGGCCUUUGUUAUGCAGGAGGUCAGCCUAGAUGAUCACAAUGGUCCCUUCUGGCCUGGGAAUCUAUUAAUCUAACUAUACUCAGACUCCUCAACACCUCAUCCAAACCCUGAGUCCACAAGGCCCAUCCCUGGCAGGUAGGUCAGCAUGCUGAUGGGGUACAUUGCUGGAGCCUGUUGGGGGUAAAGGAAGGAGAGGUACUGAAUGGUCCCUAUAGUUCUCAGUGGUCUGAAUCACUAGAGACAUCAGCUGGUGCAACACAUGAAGGACUUGAACAAGCUUAUUCCUGCUUGGGAAUGAUCAGUGAGAAUCACCACAGCCGGGCAGUUAGAGGAACUGCACUGGCCAAAAUAUAAAUUCAGAGGCACGCCUCUGAACUUGUUUUUCUUACUGCUAUUUAACAAUUUGUAGGUACUCAAAAUAAAUUACCCUCACCUUG
This is a long non-coding RNA of Emys orbicularis (European pond turtle), 1288 nucleotides long. RefSeq lists it as uncharacterized. NCBI's taxonomy places the organism in Eukaryota, Metazoa, Chordata, Testudines, Emydidae. The transcript is spliced from 5 exons. The record is from RefSeq and is a predicted model, not a curated record.